This 465-nucleotide ribosomal RNA is filed under the name uncultured bacterium. RNAcentral describes it as "partial 16S ribosomal RNA". It matches the Rfam family "Bacterial small subunit ribosomal RNA", at positions 338 to 795 of the family's 1533-position model. The record is from RNAcentral.
CCUACGGGAGGCAGCAGUGGGGAAUAUUGCGCAAUGGGCGAAAGCCUGACGCAGCGACGCCGCGUGAGGGAUGAAGGUCUUCGGAUCGUAAACCUCUGUCAGCAGGGAAGAACGGUCACUGUGCUAAUCAGCAGUGAAUUGACGGUACCUGCAAAGGAAGCACCGGCUAACUCCGUGCCAGCAGCCGCGGUAAUACGGAGGGUGCGAGCGUUAAUCGGAAUUACUGGGCUUAAAGCGCUCGUAGGCGGUAUGUCAAGUCAAGGGUGAAAUCCCCGCGCUCAACGUGGGAACUGCCUUUGAAACGGGCAAACUGGAGUGUGUGAGAGGAUAGUGGAAUUCCAGGUGUAGGAGUGAAAGCCGUAGAUAUCUGGAGGAACAUCAGUGGCGAAGGCGACUAUCUGGCACAUAACUGACGCUGAGGAGCGAAAGCGUGGGUAGCAAACAGGAUUAGAUACCCUUGUAGUC